AUAUCACUAAGCGGAGGAAAAGAAAUUAACUAAGAUUGCCUCAGUAACGGCGAGUGAAGCGGCAAGAGCCCAAACUGGAAAUCUUCACCCUCGGGUGACGAAUUGUAAUCUAAGCUGGUUCGCUCAACGGGUGGUGGCGCAGAAGUGCCUUAGAACGGGCCGCCAGAGAGGGUGACAGCCCCGUAUGUGGUGCCACUACCUAACGAGUGGGUUAGCAAAGAGUCGGGUUGCUUUGAAUUGCAGCCCUAAGUGGGAGAUAAACUUCUUCUAAGGCUAAAUAUAUAUGGGAGACCGAUAGCGCACAGUA
This 307-nucleotide ribosomal RNA is filed under the name uncultured eukaryote. RNAcentral's name for it is "partial large subunit ribosomal RNA". It matches the Rfam family "Eukaryotic large subunit ribosomal RNA", at positions 40 to 350 of the family's 3401-position model. The record is from RNAcentral.